UUUCGAUCCCACAUGUAAAUAGCACGGUGAUUUCAAAUAAGACAUUGAUACAUUACAACACUUGCCGUCAGUAUUUAAAUAUAUUGAUUAAGAAGGUUGUCAGCAAGAUGAAAAGGACAAGUAGGCAGUUCAAAAUUCAAAAUGUGGAUAUGCUGAGGUUCAAGGUCUUACCUUUGCAGAUUUUCAUAUUUUGCAUGAAUGAAUUCAAAGGUUAUAUGAUGGACGGCAGAGAAAGAAAAAAACAAACUUUUCAAUAAUCCUGCUCCUGGAUAAAUGUAAAACAUCUUGUUUCGAAGGAUUGAAAUUCACCACCUAGAAUAAAUGGAGAAAACAUAAAAACAAGACCAGAAUAAAUUCAAAGACAAAAGUUGGAUCAGUUAUUAUUUUCAUCACUCAGUCAAUGAUUUGAAGUUCUUUUAAAUACAAAAAAAUAUUGAAACCACAAUAAUGUCAAAGUUCUGUGCUGAAUGACCAAAAAUUGGA
Long non-coding RNA from Mytilus trossulus (common blue mussel), 483 nucleotides. RefSeq lists it as uncharacterized. The transcript is spliced from 3 exons. Lineage: Eukaryota; Metazoa; Mollusca; Bivalvia; Mytilida; Mytilidae. The record is from RefSeq and is a predicted model, not a curated record.